Molecule: long non-coding RNA, 2580 nt
Organism: Felis catus (domestic cat)
Lineage: Eukaryota; Metazoa; Chordata; Mammalia; Carnivora; Felidae
Exons: 3
Source: RefSeq, a predicted model, not a curated record
CCCGGGCCGAGCGGCGGGCCCGCGCCCGCCGCACUCCUCGUUCCCAGUCAUUUUCUAAUGAAAAAGCCUUGGCUUCUUUGAAAAUCCAAAGGGCGCCGGACGCUAGCGGAGAAGAGCCCCAACAAGACGGCGAAUGCAGAAAGUAAAAGGCCGGCGUCCCUCCAACCCGUCCUUCGCAAAUCUCUCCAGAGAGAUCCAGCCUUUACAGAUCGGAAGCUUCUUGUACAUGGCAGGGCUACAUACCUGGUUCUGGCUGGUGAAAUAUGAGCAAAGGUGACAUGUGACACUUUGGGGUGAGGCAGUGACAAACCCAAGCGUGGUUCUCUGCGUUCUCUUCCCUUGCUUUGGUGAUCGUGGGAGCAUGAGGCAUCACGGGAUGAAGGCAAGCCUAUUGCUGAGCCACACGUGGAGGACAACUGUCUCCAACACUCACCCAGAUACACAGCUGAGUUCAGCCAGCCAGUUGAAGACGGAUCUAGUUUCUUUGGAGACUUGUUUGGUUUGAGUGUUCUUCCUCCACCUCUGUCCGCUGAAAAUCAACACAUCCUGAAGUUGGAGAUGUGGGAAGACCCUGAACUCACCUCCUGCCGUGGACACACCAAAUCCAUAGCUACAUCUAGAACAGUUGUCUCUGAAAAAGACCUGAAAGCUAGCUGCGUAGCUCCUCCACAGCAAUGGAUAAAAAGGCCACACUGAGAUGGAUAGAAAAGACAGAGAUAUGGUCUUGCUAAAGACCCCACUCCCAGUGCAGUGACCCAUAAGCACAAGGGUGCCCACCCAUAUGCACAAAUAUGGUGCAUAUCCUUGAGAAGAGAAUUUGACCCCCACACUAGGCACCCCAACCCUUUGCUGAACAUCUGGCUUUGAAAACCAGUGAGACUUAUAUCCAGGAGACCCAAGAGGUUGUAGGAAACUGAGACUCUGCUCCUGAAGAACUCAGACACAGACCCACUUGUCCUGGGACUCCGUACAAAAGUAGCAGGUUGGAAAAUGCCUAGACCAUAUGUGAAGGAGAUUCAUUGGCUAAGCUUAAAGUAUCUGCCAGAGGGCCAGGGGUCUGUUGGAACUCUCUCUGGGGAGGGAGGCUCUGGUGGGUUCCAUUUUUGCACUCUCUCUUCUACUUUGCUAGUGGACACCAUUUUUGCACUCUACCUUUAUCUUGCAAGUGCCAUUUCCCCUUGCCCAGUUCUGUCCUGUGGUCCCACCCUUCCAAAGUUGGUGGGCUGGCUCACCCUGACCCAGUACACCCCUGUGUGAGGCUGCUCCACCAACCUGGUGGGCAGAUGUGGCCCCACCACUGCUGACAAGUGCAUGCAGUCCACACAGGGGAUGUCCCUUGAAUGCUUGGCUCUGAUGGCCAAGGGGGCUUGCAUUUCUGGGCCCCAUGGGACUGAAGCAACUGGAGAGACACUUUUGGGCAAGGGAGCACCACAGGGCACUGAACAGACAGCAGACUGAAACAUAUUCCCAGUCUUCCUGUGAUCACUCCUUUAAGACUGGGAGAGACAGCCAUUUCACCUAAUGCAUAGAAACAGCAAAAUGAGGAAACAGGAAGAUGUUCCAAAUGAAAGAAUAAGAUAAAACUCCAGAAAAAACCUUAAUGAAAUGGAGAUAAGUAAUUUACAUGGUAAAGAGUUCAGAGUAAUGGUCAUAGAGAUGCUCAUUGAUCUUGGGAGAAUGAACACAGAGAGAACUUCAACAAAGAGACGGAAAAUAGAAGAAAGUAGGAAACAUAAAUCUCAGAGCUGAGGAAUACAAUAACUGAAAUGAAAAAUACAUUGGUGGGAUGCAACAGCAGACUAGAUGAAACAGAAUAUGGGAUCAGUGACCUGGAAGGCAGGGCAGUGGAACUCACCCAAAACGGAGCAAUAAAAAGAAAAAAAGAAUUAAGAAAAGUGAAGAUAGCUUAAGGGACAUAUAAACAACAUCAAAUGAAACCACAUUUGCAUAAUAGGGGCCCAGAAGGAGAAGAGACAGAAAGAGACAGGACACUUAUUUGAAGAAAUGAUGUCUGCAAACUUUCUUAACCUGGGGAAGAAAACAAGACGUCCAGAUCCAGGAAGCCCAGAGUUCCAAAUAAAAUGAACCCAAAGAGAACCAUACUAAGACACAUCAUUAAAAUGUCAAAGUUAAAGAAUCUUAAAAGCAAAAAGAGAAAAACAACUUAUAACAUACAAGGGAACCCAAUAAAAUAAUCAGAUUUUUUAGCAGAAACUUUGUAGGCCAGAAGGGAGUGACAUGAUGUAUUCAAAGUGCUGAAAGCAAGACUUACAAUCAAGAAUACUCUACCCAGCAAGGUUAUCAUUCAGAAUUGAAGGAGAGAAAAAAGUUUUCCAGAUAAAGACCCAAGGAGCAUAUCAUCACUAAAGCAGCCUUAUAGGAAAUGUUAAAGGGACUUAUUUAAACUGAAAAGAAAGGGCAGUAAGUAGUAACAAAAAAUAUAUAUAUGAAAGUAAAAAUCUCACUGGCAAAGGUAAAGUAUAUAGUAAAGAUAGUGGACUAAUCACUUAUAAAGCUAGCAUACAAAAGUAAUAAAAAUAACUAUAGCUACAGGGGUGCCUGGGUGGCUCAGUCAGUUAA